ACACAUGCAAGUCGAACGGAGCACCCUUGAUUGAGGUUUCGGCCAAAUGAUAGGAAUGCUUAGUGGCGGACUGGUGAGUAACGCGUGAGGAACCUGCCUUUCAGAGGGGGACAACAGUUGGAAACGACUGCUAAUACCGCAUGACGCAUUUUGAUCGCAUGGUCGAAAUGCCAAAGAUUUAUCGCUGAAAGAUGGCCUCGCGUCUGAUUAGCUAGUUGGUGAGGUAACGGCCCACCAAGGCGACGAUCAGUAGCCGGACUGAGAGGUUGACCGGCCACAUUGGGACUGAGAUACGGCCCAGACUCCUACGGGAGGCAGCAGUGGGGAAUAUUGGGCAAUGGGCGCAAGCCUGACCCAGCAACGCCGCGUGAAGGAAGAAGGCUUUCGGGUUGUAAACUUCUUUUAAGUGGGAAGAGCAGAAGACGGUACCACUUGAAUAAGCCACGGCUAACUACGUGCCAGCAGCCGCGGUAAUACGUAGGUGGCAAGCGUUGUCCGGAUUUACUGGGUGUAAAGGGCGUGCAGCCGGGCAUGCGAGUCAGAUGUGAAAUCUCAGGGCUUAACCCUGAAACUGCAUUUGAAACUGUAUGUCUUGAGUGCCGGAGAGGUAAUCGGAAUUCCUUGUGUAGCGGUGAAAUGCGUAGAUAUAAGGAAGAACACCAGUGGCGAAGGCGGAUUACUGGACGGUAACUGACGGUGAGGCGCGAAAGCGUGGGGAGCGAACAGGAUUAGAUACCCUGGUAGUCCACGCUGUAAACGAUGGAUACUAGGUGUGCGGGGACUGACCCCCUGCGUGCCGCAGUUAACACAAUAAGUAUCCCACCUGGGGAGUACGAUCGCAAGGUUGAAACUCAAAGGAAUUGACGGGGGCCCGCACAAGCGGUGGAUUAUGUGGUUUAAUUCGAAGCAACGCGAA
Molecule: ribosomal RNA, 916 nt
Filed under: uncultured bacterium
Lineage: Bacteria
Description: bacterial SSU rRNA
Rfam family: Bacterial small subunit ribosomal RNA
Source: RNAcentral